Molecule: ribosomal RNA, 433 nt
Filed under: uncultured bacterium
Lineage: Bacteria
Description: partial 16S ribosomal RNA
Rfam family: Bacterial small subunit ribosomal RNA
Source: RNAcentral
AACGAACGCUGGCGGCAUGCCUAACACAAGCAAGUCGAACGAGACCUUCGGCUCUAGUGGCGCACGGGUGCGUAACGCGUGGGAACCUGCCCUUAGGUUCGGAAUAACUCCCCGAAAGGGGUGCUAAUACCGGAUAAUGUCUUCGGACCAAAGAUUUAUCGCCUUUGGAUGGGCCCGCGUUGGAUUAGCUAGUUGGUAGGGUAAAAGCCUACCAAGGCGACGAUCCAUAGCUGGUCUGAGAGGAUGAUCAGCCACACUGGGACUGAGACACGGCCCAGACUCCUACGGGAGGCAGCAGUGGGGAAUAUUGGACAAUGGGCGAAAGCCUGAUCCAGCAAUGCCGCGUGAGUGAUGAAGGCCUUAGGGUUGUAAAGCUCUUUUACCCGGGAUGAUAAUGACAGUACCGGGAGAAUAAGCUCCGGCUAACUCCGUG